UAUGGCACACAAUGACCUAUGCUUGAUAAAUGUUGUUGUCCUUGGUAACAACGUAUCAUUUGAUCACGAACAGGUUUAAGGACUAAACGAUAAAUCCUCCUUUGUCGAGUCUAAAUAGUCCUAAGGACUUCACCACAACACAGGAGUUCAUUAAAAAAUAAAACAAUUUGUGAUGAAAAAUAUCAAAAUAAUUUUUAUUAAUUUAUAAUUCAUAUACUGUUGGGUGUAAAAUCUCCCCCAGUCGAAGUUCGUGUCAGGAGUGACCCCUCGG
Molecule: long non-coding RNA, 271 nt
Filed under: Elaeis guineensis (African oil palm)
Lineage: Eukaryota; Viridiplantae; Streptophyta; Magnoliopsida; Arecales; Arecaceae
Description: long non-coding RNA (EGUI_LNC062965)
Source: RNAcentral